GAUGAACGCUAGCGGCAGGCUUAACACAUGCAAGUCGAGGGGUAUUGGAGGCUUGCUUCCAAGAGACCGGCGCACGGGUGCGUAACGCGUAUGCAACCUACCUUGAACAGGGGGAUAGCCCAGAGAAAUUUGGAUUAAUACCCCAUGGUAGUAUUGGAUGGCAUCAUUUGAUAAUUAAAGUUCCGACGGUUCAAGAUGGG
This 200-nucleotide ribosomal RNA is filed under the name uncultured bacterium. RNAcentral's name for it is "partial 16S ribosomal RNA". It matches the Rfam family "Bacterial small subunit ribosomal RNA", at positions 28 to 229 of the family's 1533-position model. The record is from RNAcentral.